GUCGGGAAUUUUGGGCAAUGGGCGAAAGCCUGACCCAGCAACGCCGCGUGAAGGAUGAAGUAUUUCGGUAUGUAAACUUCGAAAGAAUAGGAAGAAUAAAUGACGGUACUAUUUAUAAGGUCCGGCUAACUACGUGCCGAGCAAGCCGCGGUAAUACGUAGGGACCAAGCGUUGUUCGGAUUUACUGGGCGUAAAGGGCGCGUAGGCGGCUUGACAAGUCACUUGUGAAAUCUCUGGGCUUAACCCAGAACGGCCAAGUGAAACUGUCAUGCUAGAGUGCAGAAGGGGCAAUCGGAAUUCUUGGUGUAGCGGUGAAAUGCGUAGAUAUCAAGAGGAACACCUGAGGUGAAGACGGGUUGCUGGGCUGACACUGACGCUGAGGCGCGAAAGCCAGGGGAGCAAACGGGAUUAGAUACCCCUGUAGUCCCUGAGCGGGCUGGCAAGGCGCAU
This 450-nucleotide ribosomal RNA is filed under the name uncultured bacterium. RNAcentral describes it as "bacterial SSU rRNA". It matches the Rfam family "Bacterial small subunit ribosomal RNA", at positions 354 to 825 of the family's 1533-position model. The record is from RNAcentral.